This 75-nucleotide ribosomal RNA is filed under the name Demequina lignilytica. Its description in RNAcentral is "partial 16S ribosomal RNA". It matches the Rfam family "Bacterial small subunit ribosomal RNA", at positions 1 to 75 of the family's 1533-position model. Lineage: Bacteria; Bacillati; Actinomycetota; Actinomycetes; Micrococcales; Demequinaceae. The record is from RNAcentral.
UUUACGGAGAGUUUGAUCCUGGCUCAGGACGAACGCUGGCGGCGUGCUUAACACAUGCAAGUCGAACGGUGACGG